RNAcentral lists this long non-coding RNA (4000 nucleotides) under Sinocyclocheilus grahami. RNAcentral's name for it is "lncRNA (ENSSGRG00000001675.1)". Lineage: Eukaryota; Metazoa; Chordata; Actinopteri; Cypriniformes; Cyprinidae. The record is from RNAcentral.
AUGAAUGUGUUCAGUUUCGCCCUGGCGCCGACGGACCCGGCCCAGCGCGAGCAGCAGCUGCAGCAGGAGCUUCUGGCCCUCAAGCAGAAACAGCAGAUACAGAGGCAGAUCCUGAUCGCAGAGUUUCAGCGGCAGCACGAGCAGCUCUCACGCCAGCAUGAAGCGCAGCUGCAGGAGCACGUCAAGCAUCAGCAGGACCUCCUGGCCCUGAAACAUCAGCAGGAGCUCCUGGAACACCAGCGGAAGUUGGAGCGCCAUCGUCAGGAGCAGGAGCUGGAGAAACAGCAGCGGGAACAGAAGCUCCAGUUACUCAAAAACAAAGAACGCGGCCAAGAGAGCGCUGUGGCGAGCACUGAGGUGAAGAUGAGGUUGCAGGAGUUCGUCCUCAACAAGAAGAAAGCGCUGGCCCAGAGGAGCCUCAACCACUGCCUGCCCAACGACCCGCGCUACUGGUACGGGAAAACCCAGCACAGCUCCCUGGACCAGAGCUCACCGCCUCAGACAGGGAUUUCCACUUACAACCACCCGGUGCUGGGAAUGUACGACCCCAAAGAUGACUUCCCGCUCCGCAAGACGGCAUCUGAGCCCAACCUGAAGCUGCGAUCCAGGCUGAAGCAGAAAGUUACGGAGCGCAGGAGUAGCCCGCUGCUUCGGAGGAAGGAUGGUCCGAUCACCACUGCAAAGAAGCGCUCUCUGGACAUGGCAGAAUCGGCAUGCAGCAGUGCUCCUGGUUCUGGUCCGAGUUCACCCAACAACAGUUCAAACAAUAUUACCAAUGAGAACGGCAUCCCAUCUUUGGUGCACAGACUCACGGGCAGAGAGGGUCCUGUUAGCCAGCUGUCUCUGUACACAUCGCCCUCCCUUCCCAACAUCACCCUGGGCCUGCCAGCCACCGGCCCCUCCAGCGUGGCAUCUGGCCUACAGGAUGGUGACAGAAUGGCUGUGCCAGGCUUGCAGCCAGGAAUACCCAUAACCACUCCGUUCAUGCCAGGAGCCCACCUGCCUUCUUACCUGGCCGCGUCCACCUUAGAGCGGGAGGGUGGCUCAGCACACAACACUCUCCUGCAGCAUAUGGUACAGAACUCCCUGGUCGCAGGCCUGGGGGGCGUGCCCCUGCAGUCGCAUUCCAUCCACAAGCUCCGGCAGCAUCGGCCCCUCGGACGCACGCAGUCGGCCCCCCUGCCCCAGAAUGCCCAGGCGCUGCAGCAGCUGGUGGUUCAACAGCAACACCAGCAGUUCCUGGAAAAACACAAGCAACAGUUCCAGCAGCAGCAGCUUCACAUCAGCAAGGUACACUCACCGGGUGUGGAUCACCUCAGCGCUACACUCGGGGCUUCCGGGAAUACUCCGGGCCGACAGCAUGAGAGCCACCCGGAGGAGACGGAGGAGGAGCUGCGGGAGCACCAGGGCCUGGGCGACUCCACGGAGGCUCUUCCUCACGGGGUCACCAUCAAACAGGAACCUCCGGAUGAGCAGGAUGAAGAGUUCCAGCAGAGAGAGAUGCAACCCGAGGAAGAGCUGCUCUUCAGACAGCAAGCUCUCCUGUUGGAGCAACAGAGGAUCCAUCAGCUGAGGAACUUUCAGGCAUCCAUGGAAGCGGCCGGUCUGUCUGUGACCUUCCCAGGCCAUCGGCCCCUGUCCAGAGCACAAUCAUCCCCGGCCUCUGCGACCUUUCCCAUUGUGGUGCAGGAACCUCCAGCCAAACCGCGCUUUACCACCGGUCUGGUGUACGACACCCUGAUGCAGAAACACCAGUGCAUGUGUGGAAACAGUAACAACCACCCCGAACACGCCGGGCGCAUCCAGAGCAUCUGGUCACGACUGCAGGAGACGGGACUGCGCGGCCAGUGUGAGUGUAUUCGAGGCAGGAAAGCCACUCUGGAGGAGCUACAGACGGUCCACACUGAGCCUCAUGUGCUGCUUUACGGAACCAACCCUCUCAGACAGAAACUGGACAGCUCAGUGACACCCAUGUUCGUGAGACUGCCGUGCGGAGGAAUCGGGGUUGACAGUGACACUAUCUGGAAUGAAGUUCACUCGUCCAGUGCUGCUCGUCUGGCUGUGGGAUCUGUAGUGGAUCUGGUGUUUAAAGUGGCUUCAGGAGAGCUGAGGAACGGCUUUGCUGUGGUGCGACCUCCAGGACAUCACGCUGAGGAGAGCACUCCCAUGGGAUUUUGCUAUUUCAACUCGGUCGCCAUUGCAGCCAAACUCCUGCAGCAGAGACUCAACGUCAGUAAGAUUCUCAUUGUGGACUGGGAUGUUCACCAUGGAAAUGGGACUCAACAGGCCUUCUACAGUGACCCUAAUGUCCUGUAUGUGUCUCUCCAUCGCUACGAUGAUGGGAACUUCUUCCCUGGCAGCGGAGCCCAUGAUGAGGUGGGCAUCGGGCCAGGCAUGGGCUUUAACGUGAACAUGGCCUUCACCGGAGGUCUGGAGCCGCCCAUGGGAGACGCAGACUAUCUGGCAGCAUUCAGGACGGUGGUGAUGCCAAUUGCGAACGAGUUCGCUCCAGACGUGGUGCUGGUUUCUUCAGGCUUCGACGCUGUGGAGGGGCAUCUGCCACCUCUGGGAGGAUACAAGCUCACGGCCAAAUGUAAGUGUUUCGGCUACCUGACCAAGCAGCUGAUGGGACUGGCCGGCGGCCGGCUGGUGCUCGCGCUGGAGGGGGGUCACGACCUCACCGCUAUUUGCGAUGCCUCUGAAGCAUGUGUUUCUGCUUUGCUUGGAAACGAGUUGGACCCUCUUCCUGAAGACGUGCUACAACAGAGGCCGAACCCCAAUGCCAUUCACUCCAUGGAGAAAGUUCUGGAAGUCCACAGUAAAUACUGGCGCUCGCUGCAGAGAUCUGCCUCGACUCUGGGAUACUCACUGCUGGAGGCUCAGAGAUGUGAAACUGAAGAGGCAGAGACGGUGACCGCCAUGGCCUCCCUGUCUGUGGCCAACAAGCACAUGGGAAAGAGGACAGAGGAGGAGCCUAUGGAAGAGGAACCUCCAUUGUAGAAGGUCCGAUCGACUGCCUUGGUGACCUUCUCGGCUCAGAACCUCUUCAAGUCCUCUGAUGUCGCUCUACUCUCUCUAUCCGUUUCAUUUUUUAUCCCACGAUGUGCGCGCUUUGAGCACGGGAUCUGAAACGGCCUGAAGAAAUCUCUGUGACACCCAGAGCGCGACAAACAUCUCAGCCGUGUUAGUCUGUCUCUGUCCGUGGCAGAACGUCCAGGACUGUUAAACCUGGUCUGUCCGCAGGGACGCUUAACUUUUGAGCAGGACAUAGACUCACGUUUCAUUGUUAGAUGUGAGAGCUGGUGCUUUCGACAAGAACUUUUUCAUUAUUUUCCAGAGCCACUAUAUGACUGAUUUCGGCUGUUACGGCCUACGUUUUUUAUUUGUCGUCUCUCUCUGUUCGUUGUGUCUGUCUUUCUUUUAUUCUUGGAGAAACAAUUGACUCGUUCCUUUCGCAAUUCGAGUUACUGCUUCACGAGGGUGGACGAUGUGAUCGGGAGAGCGAUCGAAGGAUUCUGGGAAGCCCGACGGAGAGUCGACAAUGCGAGUUUGUGCCUUUUUCAAAAGAUGGAUCCAGAAGAACAUUGCCUUAAACUAGUUACAGGAGGGAAGACGUUUCGCCGUCUCGGUAUUUCUUGACACGCGACGGUCAAAGGCUGGCCUGAAGAAUCGAGAAACCCUCAGCAUGUUUACCAGGAACUCCCUGCAGAUAUCUUCAUGUUUCACACACAUUAUGACCUGUUUUCUGUUCCUUCAUUUUUACUGGGCUUGUGUUGGACGUUACAUGACUCUAAGUGUCACUGACUAACAAACUUUAAGGUAGUUGCCAGCGAUCCAAGGGCAAAACGUUCGAUUGAAUUCUCCAGCGCUUUAGACGGCAAGCCAAUGUAGCGUCUCGUUUCAACUCUUAAUGACCAAAUACGCACUUCCUCCUUCUCCGAAAAGUUGGUCAGCAUGCAGCUUUCCAUCUGCCAAAUCGUAGUUUAACAGCGCCAACAAG